AAUAUUGCGCAAUGGAGGGAACUCUGACGCAGCGACGCCGCGUGAGCGAUGAAGGUCUUCGGAUCGUAAUGCACAGUCCUUGGGGAAGCAGGGAGCCGUAAGGCUUCUUGACGGUACCCAUGGAGGAAGCCCCUGCGAACUACGUUCCAGCAGCCGCGGUCAUACGUAGGGGGCAAGCGUUGUCCGGAAUUAUUGGGCGUAAAGGGUGCGUAGGCGGCCCUUUAAGUCAGAUGUGAAAGCCCACGGCUUAACCGUGGGACUGCAUUUGAAACUGGAGGGCUUGAGUGUCGGAGAGGGCAGUGGAAUUCCCAGUGUAGCGGUGGAAUGCGUAGAUAUUGGGAGGAACACCAGUGGCGAAGGCGACUACCUGGACGAAAACUGACGCUGAGGCACGAAAGCUAGGGGAGCAAAC
This 412-nucleotide ribosomal RNA is filed under the name uncultured bacterium. RNAcentral's name for it is "partial 16S ribosomal RNA". It matches the Rfam family "Bacterial small subunit ribosomal RNA", at positions 360 to 773 of the family's 1533-position model. The record is from RNAcentral.